Molecule: small nuclear RNA, 201 nt
Filed under: Verruconis gallopava
Lineage: Eukaryota; Fungi; Ascomycota; Dothideomycetes; Venturiales; Sympoventuriaceae
Description: Ochroconis gallopava U2 spliceosomal RNA
Rfam family: U2 spliceosomal RNA
About the family: U2 is a small nuclear RNA (snRNA) component of the spliceosome (involved in pre-mRNA splicing). Complementary binding between U2 snRNA (in an area lying towards the 5' end but 3' to hairpin I) and the branchpoint sequence (BPS) of the intron results the bulging out of an unpaired adenosine, on the BPS, which initiates a nucleophilic attack at the intronic 5' splice site, thus starting the first of two transesterification reactions that mediate splicing.
Source: Rfam by way of RNAcentral
AUCUCUUUGCCGAAUGGCUUAGAUCAAGUGUAGUAUCUGUUCUUUCUAGUUUGAUCGCUAGAACGCCUCUUCAGAGGAGGCAAGAUUUUCAGCCAUCAUUUAAUAUUUGGAACUCGUUGCCCCAUCUACAGGCUUGUCCUAGUCGAUGAUGGCAGCACGGUGUCGCUCGUACUGCACUUUCGCGGGCUGACGCGAAUCUCA